GGCAGGCCUAACACAUGCAAGUCGAGCGGCAGCGGAAGUAGCUUGCUACUUUGCCGGCGAGCGGCGGACGGGUGAGUAAUGUCUGGGAAACUGCCUGAUGGAGGGGGAUAACUACUGGAAACGGUAGCUAAUACCGCAUAACGUCGCAAGACCAAAGAGGGGGACCUUCGGGCCUCUUGCCAUCAGAUGUGCCCAGAUGGGAUUAGCUAGUAGGUGGGGUAACGGCUCACCUAGGCGACGAUCCCUAGCUGGUCUGAGAGGAUGACCAGCCACACUGGAACUGAGACACGGUCCAGACUCCUACGGGAGGCAGCAGUGGGGAAUAUUGCACAAUGGGCGCAAGCCUGAUGCAGCCAUGCCGCGUGUAUGAAGAAGGCCUUCGGGUUGUAAAGUACUUUCAGCGGGGAGGAAGGCGAUAAGGUUAAUAACCUUGUCGAUUGACGUUACCCGCAGAAGAAGCACCGGCUAACUCCGUGCCAGCAGCCGCGGUAAUACGGAGGGUGCAAGCGUUAAUCGGAAUUACUGGGCGUAAAGCGCACGCAGGCGGUCUGUCAAGUCGGAUGUGAAAUCCCCGGGCUCAACCUGGGAACUGCAUUCGAAACUGGCAGGCUAGAGUCUUGUAGAGGGGGGUAGAAUUCCAGGUGUAGCGGUGAAAUGCGUAGAGAUCUGGAGGAAUACCGGUGGCGAAGGCGGCC
Molecule: ribosomal RNA, 695 nt
Filed under: Enterobacter sp. VTT E-073081
Lineage: Bacteria; Pseudomonadati; Pseudomonadota; Gammaproteobacteria; Enterobacterales; Enterobacteriaceae
Description: bacterial SSU rRNA
Rfam family: Bacterial small subunit ribosomal RNA
Source: RNAcentral